Molecule: RNA transcript, 5118 nt
Organism: Brassica napus (rape)
Lineage: Eukaryota; Viridiplantae; Streptophyta; Magnoliopsida; Brassicales; Brassicaceae
Gene name: glutamate--cysteine ligase, chloroplastic-like
Exons: 13
Source: RefSeq, a predicted model, not a curated record
CAAUCAUUAAUCAUUAUUUAUAAUUUAUCGCUUUCUUCCGGAGACAGCUCAGCUCCACUGAUAGGAUUAUAAAUGGCGUCGCCGAUGCGAACUUUCUGAAAAGCUCUGCCUUUCUCCCUUCACGAGAUUCAGGAACGUGUAUACACGAUGGCGUUAUUGUCUCAAGCAGGAGGAGCAUACACUGUCCCUUCCGGACACGUAACACGUAAGCUCAAAGAUCAGGACUACAUCAGUUUCUGGCUGUGUAAGAAAUUUGAGGAUGAAAGAAGGUUUUGUUAGCUCCUACUCUAGGACUCUAUAUACCAACUCAGUGCUUAAGAGCAGCAAGAGAGGUCAUCAGUUGAUUGUUGCGGCAAGUCCUCCUACAGAGGAAGCUGUAGUUGCCACUGAGCCGCUUACGAGAGAGGAUCUCAUUGCCUAUCUUGCCUCUGGUUGCAAAACAAAGGACAAAUGGAGGAUAGGUACAGAACAUGAGAAGUUUGGGUUUGAGGUUAAUACUUCACGCCCUAUGAAGUAUGAUCAAAUAGCCGAGCUGCUCAACAGUAUCGCCGAGAGAUUUGAAUGGGAGAAAGUCAUGGAAGGUGACAAGAUCAUUGGUCUCAAGCAGGGGAAACAAAGCAUUUCACUUGAGCCUGGUGGUCAAUUUGAGCUUAGUGGUGCGCCUCUUGAGACUUUGCACCAAACCUGUGCUGAAGUCAACUCACACCUUUAUCAGGUCAAAGCUGUCGCUGAGGAAAUGGGAAUUGGUUUCCUAGGAAUGGGUUUCCAGCCCAAAUGGCGUCGUGAGGACAUUCCCAUGAUGCCUAAGGGGAGGUACGACAUUAUGAGAAACUACAUGCCGAAAGUUGGUUCCCUUGGACUUGAUAUGAUGCUUCGGACCUGUACUGUUCAGGUUAAUCUGGAUUUUAGCUCAGAAGCUGAUAUGAUCAGGAAGUUUCGUGUUGGUCUUGUCUUGCAACCUAUAGCAACAGCUCUGUUUGCCAAUUCCCCUUUCACCGAAGGAAAGCCAAACGGGUUCCUCAGCAUGAGGAGGUUUUUAAUCACAUGGUUCUCAUUUUCCAUCUAUUUAAAGGCUUUUCAGAUCCACAAGAUUUCUGGGCUAGAAGACUUCCAGACGACUACCAAGAAGUCUUCCAGACGACUUCCAGGAAGUCUUCUGACGGAGUCUUUUCUCAUGUCGCCCUUUCAUAACAUAUCUGAGCGUUUUGGUAAGUUUUUAUGUUUGAUUUUUCUUCAUUUGGUAACCUCCUGUUGCAUAAAGUUCAUACUUUUUUCCCAAACGUCUUCUUCACGAUUUCUUUCGAUAUGAAUUCGUUUUUUCCUUCUUUUCCUUUCUUCUUGUUGAUCACCAUAAUUUUCCGCCAAAUUUUCGAAUGUUUGUUCAAAAUGUUGAUCAAAAUAUUGAUCAAAACUUUCAUCAUCUACUCCCUCAAAAUUGUUAUUAGAAGAUGGAACCAUAUAUGUGAUGAAAAUGUAAAAAAGUGUUUUGCGGAAGAAGGAUCAAAAUGUUGAAUAAUGUGAGCGUAGUAAUAAGUGAAGAAGUUGAGCAAAUAAGGAAAAAUGGGAGAGUGAAAUCUUGAUUGAGAGGAGUGGCUUUUAAAUCUUGUGUGCUUUUAAAUCUUGAUCGAGAGAAGUGGUUUUGAAAUCUUGUAUCAUGAAUAACUUUAUAUAGAGUAAGAGGAGUUGUUUUGUCCAAAACAUACAAACACAUAAAUAAUCUCGUGACUGAAAUCAUGCAUUAUCUCGUGACAUGCACGUCCAAAACCUUGGAUAAUCUCGUGCCCAAAACGUGCAGACAAGUAGAACAUCUCGUAACCAAAACAUGCAUACAAACAAAACCAUCGCCUCUCAUGCACGUCCAAAAACAAUCUCGUGACACAUACAUACAAACAUAACCUGUCGUGACUUCUCUUGCCAAACCGAACAUGACAUCUCGUGCUUCUCGUGACUUCUCUUGCCUCUGUCUCUAUGCUUCAAAUGGUCCUACAAUCAUAUACAUGUAAAUGCAUCAGUGAGUCAGCCCAAUGUUCAACAUAGUUCAUGUAAAUGCAUCAGUGAUCUCAAAUAUAUAAGGAAACAAGGAUGUGGCAAGCGGAUAAAUAAAAAAGAGCAUUUCACAUUUAACAUUGAAGCAUACAAUAUUUUACAGAUAGAUGUUAAACAGAACAUGAAACAGACCAUUACACAGAACAUCAAACCGAAAAUUUAACCAAAGACACUAGUUUGUAGACAUCAAAAAGAACAUUAACCCAACAUCUUUGUUAUUAGCUUCUGCUUGAGCGCUUCUUCAAAUUCAGAUAGUGGUUCAUUUUUGCCAAUGAGCCUCUCUAGCAAACCCAUCUUCGAGAAUCUCUCUUUCACAACCAAGUCUUUCUCUCUAAUAGACCACAUGGUCUGAAACUGAGAGGCAGCCUGCUGAUCUACCACAUUUCUCUUACCAGAUGCUGCUUUCGCUGCCUUCACACCAGGAGGACGUUUUGUUGCUUCAUCAUCAAGAUCGACAGUUGCUUGGGAGCUGGCUGAUUGUGCUCCAUCCUCACACUUUCUUUUCCUAGUGGUUCCAUCCCUCUUACUUGUUGCAAGCUCACACCACUUUUGGUCAUGCCGCAGUUCCUCCCAAGCGUGGUAAAGGUUAAACUUCUUCUUAUGGUCAUUGUAGAAGAUUUCAUGUGCCAGUUUGACUACAUCAUUUUCACUCUGGCCACUAGUUUUCUGUCAUGUUGCAGCAUUAUAGGAGCAGUAGAACUUGCAAACAAGAUCGUUCAGCUUCUGCCACCUUUGCUUACAGUGAAGGGCUUCUCGCUUUUCACCUUUCACCACCUUUGGACUAGCUGCAUAGUAAGCUGCUAUGCGUUUCCAGAAAGUACCGGCUUUCUGCUCAUUGCUGACGACAGGGUCCUUGUUGGUGUUUAGCCAUGCGCUAAUUAGCACCAGAUCAUCUGUGGGAGUCCAUUUCUUUCUUUCUUUGCGUCAUUUAGCAUGAGUCUUCACAGAAGCUUGAGGUUUCAGUACAUUGAGUACUGAACAGAGGGACUUGUGAUGAAAAACUCCCAUAAUUAAAGGGUUCAGGAAGGACGAGAUCUUGUUGACUGUUCAACAGGUCAACAAAAUUUGUUGUCUGACUAUAGGGAUUUGUUGAAUCCAUUUAGUAUUAUGUGAGAACAGAGAGAAAGAAGAAGAGAUGUGUUUGAGGAAGAAUAGAAUGGGAGAUCGUGUUUGAAGAUGAAAAGAAAGAGAGAAAGCUACCGGAUUUUAUAAAUGAAAAGAGCUACUGGUUGGCUUUUAAUUGCCUUUACUCUAACAAAUUUAUUAGAUUUGAUUGCCUUAACUCUAACAAAUUUAUUACCAAGCAGACUCUCCUAACACGCAUUAAUCAGAUUUGAGAGUUAUCAGAAGCAUUCAUCACCACCACAACCACAAUAUAACAAGCAUAUUCACUACCAUCACCUAACUCUAACCACCACCUAACUCUAACCAUCACCUAACUCUAAGCAUUUAUUAACAUAAGUAAUGAGAUCAAGUUUGCACACUAACCUAACCGAGAGGGGGUGAUACGCCUCCAAGAGCUUGAAGAGUGGCGUUGAGAUGACUUGAGAGCUACCGGUUUUGAUACGCCUCCUGUGUUUCACUCCUCAAGUUCUCACUAAUUUGUGCAUUAUGAUCUUUCCCUCCUCGCAUGAUUUCAUCAAUGUAAACCAAAUUAGCAAAGCACACAGUGUAACAAAGAACCAUAUAAUCAAAAACAAGUGUCUUCAUAUUCAUAACACCUAAUUAAAUCACCUUUGAACUUUAGACAUAUGAUCAAUCAAAACCGAUAGAGUCUGUUGGGAGACUUCUUCCUCUCCAGAAUAGCCGAUAGAGAAAUCUUCCUCACACUACCUGAUAAGAAAAUAAAAAAGGGAUUCACCUUUGAACUUUAGUCAUAUGAUCAAUCAAAACCCUAAUAGAGAUUAAUACAAAGAAGGAUGAGGUGAGAAAGUUAAUUACUUCGGUAGUUGAUCUGGAAGUUGAAUAGAUCGUGAGAGCCAUCUGAAAGAGCGACGGAGUAGACCGACAAAGUCACCUUAUAUGUUAUAUUUUUCUUAUAUGUUAGAUUUUUAACUAAUGUGUAUCUAUAGUGUUUCAAAGCCACGAGAAGCAACAACUCUUAACCAGGAGAAAAGUCACCAGAAUUUGCAGUGUCGCCACCUGCUAAAAAGAUAUGUGGAACUUUAAGUCAAUGACAGAUGAUGAUCCAAUGAAGUUUGGGUUUGGCUCACCAGGAACUCAUUGCUUUGAUGUCACCAGAAGCAACAACCAUUUCAAGCUCUGUAAUUCCAAUGUUGCCAUCCGUCUAAACCAGUCUACGAAGAUGGUCGAAGUCCCAGCUGUCGUUAAUCCAAGAUAACCCUUCUCUUUCAGACAUUCUUGGCGAGGUUUGCGACAUCAGGACAACAUACAAUGACCACAUUCAGACUACUCAACGACUUAUGGUUAACGACCGAGUAGAUAAGGAUGCAACUGUUUGCGUCAGCGUUUUUGACAGUCUUGCUGAACUCCUCCACAAGAGAUUGGAAGCUGGUAACCAACAUCAACCCCAAGUUUAUAGGAGGUCGUCUUCACCUCAAUGCUACUUCUGGGAACCAUUUUAUUUUAACAAUGAGGUGGCCGCAAACCAUAAUCUAUUUGAGGAGUACUUAAAACCACGACGCCACAUUUGGAUUACACACAAUUUGCAGGUUGUCAACCCGACAAUGACUCCACCAGUGGGAAGCAGUAUCGUGGUGUGAAGAAGCUGGAACAGGUUUCACUAGGCGAAUUGGAGAACUAUGUACUGGAGUCACCCUCACGAGCUAUUGAGUUCUUAUGCAAAUCCAAGAUUGCCUAAUUGGAAAAAACUACGGCUGGUGUUACAUCUCCUGUGUUAAGUGAUCCAUGAAGCUCCAGCGUGGAAUGUCAUCUUUCACAUGCCCAACAUGUUUUAAUGCCAGUGUUGUUGGAGUUGUCAGGUUCAAUUAACGCAUUAGGAAGAAAAGAAGCACAAUGCAAUAAUAUCAUGUAUUUUUAUUUGUAUAAGAGGAGAGAUGCAAUAUAGAUGUCAAGCCAUUUCAAAUUUUGAUUAUAUACACCAUUUCUCUA